CCUACGGGAGGCAGCAGUAGGGAAUCUUCCACAAUGGGCGAAAGCCUGAUGGAGCAACGCCGCGUGGGUGAAGAAGGUCUUCGGAUCGUAAAACCCUGUUGUUAGAGAAGAAAGUGCGUGAGAGUAACUGUUCACGUUUCGACGGUAUCUAACCAGAAAGCCACGGCUAACUACGUGCCAGCAGCCGCGGUAAUAAGUAGGUGGCAAGCGUUAUCCGGAUUUAUUUGGUGUAAAGGGAAAGCAGGACGUAUUUUAAGGCUGAUGUGAAAUCCUUCGGCUUAAACGGAGUAGUGCAUUGGAUACUGGGAGACUUGAGUGCAGUAGAGGAAAGUGGAACUCCAUGUGUAGCGGUGAAAUGCGUAGAUAUAUGGAAGAACACCAGUGGCGAAGGCAGCUUUCUGGUCUGUAACUGACGCUGAGGUUCGAAAGCGUGGGUAGCAAACAGGAUUAGAUACCCUUGUAGUC
Molecule: ribosomal RNA, 465 nt
Filed under: uncultured bacterium
Lineage: Bacteria
Description: partial 16S ribosomal RNA
Rfam family: Bacterial small subunit ribosomal RNA
Source: RNAcentral